RNAcentral lists this ribosomal RNA (271 nucleotides) under uncultured prokaryote. Its description in RNAcentral is "partial 16S ribosomal RNA". It matches the Rfam family "Bacterial small subunit ribosomal RNA", at positions 524 to 794 of the family's 1533-position model. The record is from RNAcentral.
UACGGAGGAUGCAAGCGUUAUCCGGAUUUAUUGGGUUUAAAGGGUGCGCAGGCGGGAGAUUAAGUCGGCGGUGAAAUUUUGCAGCUUAACUGUAAAAGUGCCUUCGAAACUGGUUUCCUUGAGUGUAGAUGAAGUAGGCGGAAUUUGUGGUGUAGCGGUGAAAUGCAUAGAUAUCACGAGGAACUCCGAUUGCGCAGGCAGCUUACUAAACUACUACUGACGCUCAGGCACGAAGGCGUGGGGAUCAAACAGGAUUAGAUACCCCCGUAGU